GUGAUUACAUCAAAGGCCAAGUAAUAGGGUAUAUGGAUCAGUUUGGCACUUCACUUCCUGUUAAGGUGAUCAGAAAUUGCAACAGAGAUUACAACAAGUGUAGCAAGUAGCAAAACCUUUUACACUGAUUCCAAUGGACGCGAUUUCAUCAAAAGGAUUCGAGACUAUAGAAAAGACUGGAAAUUGCAAGUAAAUCAACUUGUUGCUGGAAAUUAUUACCCUAUCAACCUUGGGAUUUACCUGAAAGAUAAAAGUAAAGAGCUCUCUAUAUUGGUAGAUAGGUCUGUGGGGGGAUCCAGCAUCAAAGAUGGGCAAUUAGAAAUAAUUGUUAAAUUCCUCUGAAGUGAGUUGCCCAUUUCUACU
This is a long non-coding RNA of Arachis ipaensis, 363 nucleotides long. RefSeq lists it as uncharacterized. The record is from RefSeq and is a predicted model, not a curated record. Lineage: Eukaryota; Viridiplantae; Streptophyta; Magnoliopsida; Fabales; Fabaceae.